RNAcentral lists this unclassified non-coding RNA (342 nucleotides) under fungal sp. RNAcentral describes it as "partial internal transcribed spacer region". The stretch from base 1 to 46 matches the Rfam family "Eukaryotic small subunit ribosomal RNA", at positions 1786 to 1831 of the family's 1831-position model. Lineage: Eukaryota; Fungi. The record is from RNAcentral.
AAGUCGUAACAAGGUUUCCGUAGGUGAACCUGCGGAAGGAUCAUUAACACGUAUCCAAACGUUAAAACCCCCCCCGUGAACUUUCAAUCCUGCUCUUGUAACCCGCGUAGUUCCGCAAUCUCUGGUAAAUCAUAGCCCGGAAAGUUGUUUUGAUUCAGAGACCUCUGGCUACGUGAGAACAAUGGAACAGUUACAAUCGAGCGGUAGUUUCAUAGGCAUUGUUUCCCCAAGCAGUCAGUGUUCCCCAUGCCCCCUUACAACCCCACAGUUUAAUGUAAAGCUCAAUGUAAUACAUUGGGUAAAAAAACCGAACAACUGUUAACAAUGGAUAUCUUGGUUCUC